Molecule: ribosomal RNA, 524 nt
Filed under: uncultured bacterium
Lineage: Bacteria
Description: bacterial SSU rRNA
Rfam family: Bacterial small subunit ribosomal RNA
Source: RNAcentral
AUUGAACGCUGGCGGCAUGCCUUACACAUGCAAGUCGAACGGCAGCAUAGGAGCUUGCUCCUGAUGGCGAGUGGCGAACGGGUGAGUAAUAUAUCGGAACGUGCCCUAGAGUGGGGGAUAACUAGUCGAAAGACUAGCUAAUACCGCAUACGAUCUACGGAUGAAAGUGGGGGAUCGCAAGACCUCAUGCUCCUGGAGCGGCCGAUAUCUGAUUAGCUAGUUGGUGGGGUAAAAGCCUACCAAGGCAACGAUCAGUAGCUGGUCUGAGAGGACGACCAGCCACACUGGGACUGAGACACGGCCCAGACUCCUACGGGAGGCAGCAGUGGGGAAUUUUGGACAAUGGGGGCAACCCUGAUCCAGCAAUGCCGCGUGAGUGAAGAAGGCCUUCGGGUUGUAAAGCUCUUUUGUCAGGGAAGAAACGGUGGUAGCGAAUAACUACUACUAAUGACGGUACCUGAAGAAUAAGCACCGGCUAACUACGUGCCAGCGGCCGCGGUAAUACGUAGGGUGCAAGCGUUAAU